CUAGACUAACACUCAUCAUCUUACUGACCUUCCCAGCCAUAGUUAUUAGGCUCAGGAGUCAAAAUCUCAAAUUUUUGUCAUGUUGGGAAUGAAUUCCAUUGCAGGAAUUGUUACUUAAGAAAUGCAAGCUGCAGUAGUGGAACUUUUCCUUGUUUCACUUACAUAAACUUCUGCAAUCAAUUUAUUACAAAAAACAUCCCAUAGAAGUCAAGUAUCCCAUCUCUGCUGCGAAAUAUUCGGUGGGUUUCAGGGGUCUUUUUAUCGACUAAUGUACCAAUAGUACAGUUAAUUUCACCGCAAUGUAUCCCUUUAAAUUCUCUAUGCAUAUGUGCAGAAACUAUAUUCCGG
RNAcentral lists this unclassified non-coding RNA (348 nucleotides) under Hevea brasiliensis (rubber tree). Lineage: Eukaryota; Viridiplantae; Streptophyta; Magnoliopsida; Malpighiales; Euphorbiaceae. The record is from RNAcentral.